AUGGCUGUCGUCAGCUCGUGUCGUGAGAUGUUCGGUUAAGUCCGGCAACGAGCGCAACCCUUAUCCUUAGUUGCCAGCGGGUAAUGCCGGGGACUCUAGGGAGACAAACUCCUUUUGGAGUGGGAAGGUGGGGAUGACGUCAAGUCAGUAUGGCCCUUACGGCCAGGGCUGCACGCGUGCUACAAUGCUCGGUACAAUAGGAAGCAAUACCGCGAGGUGGAGCAAAUCAUCAAAGCCGAGCCCAGUUCGGAUUGAAGUCUGCAAUUCGACUUCAUGAAGUAGGAAUCGCUAGUAAUGGCGCAUCAGCAAUGGCGCCGUGAAUACGUUCCCGGGCCUUGUACACACCGCCCGUGGGGCGGGGGCGGCGGGCCGGGCGCGGGGCGCGGCCGGGCG
RNAcentral lists this ribosomal RNA (393 nucleotides) under uncultured bacterium. RNAcentral's name for it is "bacterial SSU rRNA". It matches the Rfam family "Bacterial small subunit ribosomal RNA", at positions 1045 to 1440 of the family's 1533-position model. The record is from RNAcentral.